ACAGCUCAAAUUUGAAAUCUGGCGCCUCCGGCGUCCGAGUUGUAAUUUGUAGAGGAUGCUAUUGGGUUGCCACCGGUCUAAGUUCCUUGGAACAGGACGUCACAGAGGGUGAGAAUCCCGUAUGUGACCGGCCAGGCGCUCUCUGUAUAGCUCCUUCGACGAGUCGGGUUGUUUGGGAAUGCAGCCCUAAAUGGGAGGUAAAUUUCUUCUAAAGCUAAAUACCGGCCAGAGACCGAUAGCGCACAAGUAGAGUGAUCGAAAGAUGAAAAGCACUUUGGAAAGAGAGUUAAAAAGCACGUGAAAUUGUUGAAAGGGAAGCGCUUGCAAUCAGUCUCGACGGCGGCUGUUCGGCCCCUCUUCUGAGUGGUUUAUUCAGUCGCCGCCGGGCCAGCAUCAGUUUCGGCGGCCGGAUAAAGGCGCGGGGAAUGUAGCUCCCUCGGGAGUGUUAUAGCCCCGCGUGCAAUACGGCCCGCCGGGACUGAGGUCCGCGCUUCGGCUAGGAUGCUGGCGAAAUGGUUGUAAGCGGCCCGUCUUGAAACACGGACCAAGGAGUCUAACAUCUACGCGAGUGUUUGGGUGUCAAACCCGUGCGCGCAAUGAAAGUGAACGGAGGUGGGAACCGCAAGGUGCACCAUCGACCGAUCCUGAUGUCUUCGGAUGGAUUUGAGUAAGAGCGUAGCUGUUGGGACCCGAAAGAUGGUGAACUAUGCCUGAAUAGGGUGAAGCCAGAGGAAACUCUGGUGGAGGCUCGCAGCGGUUCUGACGUGCAAAUCGAUCGUCAAAUUUGGGUAUAGGGGCGAAAGACUAAU
RNAcentral lists this ribosomal RNA (809 nucleotides) under Elsinoe eelemani. RNAcentral describes it as "eukaryotic LSU rRNA". It matches the Rfam family "Eukaryotic large subunit ribosomal RNA", at positions 104 to 935 of the family's 3401-position model. Lineage: Eukaryota; Fungi; Ascomycota; Dothideomycetes; Myriangiales; Elsinoaceae. The record is from RNAcentral.